UAUUAAGUAUCUUAAAAUAAAAAGUAAUGAUUUUUUAAAUCAUUUAUAGUAUAAUUAAAUAAAAAUACUCUUAAUAA
RNAcentral lists this transfer RNA (77 nucleotides) under Melanips sp. ZJUH 20220003. RNAcentral's name for it is "tRNA-Lys". The record is from RNAcentral. Lineage: Eukaryota; Metazoa; Arthropoda; Insecta; Hymenoptera; Figitidae.